AGUGAGGUCACAAGGGUUAGGUCCUGAUCCAAUAGGAUUUGUCUUUAUAAGAACAGACACAGAGUGUUCUCUCCCUUGCAUGCCUGCUCUCUCUCUCUUCCCUUCCCUGCCCUUGCCUCCUUGUGCCUGCAUAAAGAAGAGGUCAUAUGGACACAUAGUGAGAUGGUGGCCUCCUACAAGCCAAGAAAAGGGGGCUUAAAAAGAAUCCUACCUGGCUGGCACCUUGAUCUUGGACUUCCUAGCAUCCAGAACUGUGACAUGGUUUUCUGGUGACCCGUGGCAACUGCCCACAAUGCACGGGAGGACUAAUCACUUUGUGCACAGCAUCCUGUCUCAUCCAGUGAAGCCAACUUCUGGAUUAUUACAGCAGACACCUCCAACCCCCUUAUCUGUCUAUGUAACCUAGUCACAUUUUUUUUUUUUUUUUUGAGAUGGAGUUUUACUCUGUCACCCAGGCUGGAGUGCAGUGGUGCAAUCUCAGCUCACUGCAAACUCCCCCUCCUUAGUUCAAAUGCUUCUCCUGUCUCAGCCUCCUGAGUAGCUGGUAUUACAGGCAUGCACCAUCACACCUGGCUAAGUUUUUUUGUGUAUUUUUAGUAGAGAGGGGGUUUUGCUGUGUUGGUCAGGCUGGCCUUGAACCCCUGACCUCAUGAUCCACUGCCUCAGCCUCCCAUAGUGCUGGGAUUACAGGCGUGAGCCACCUCGCCUAGCCGCAACCUAUUCACUCUUUAAAGCACACAUCUUGUUACAACUCUUCCAUGGAAAAUCUCUCUCUUCCAGGGAUAAGCAGGGCUGUUGUUGGUGUGGCUCACAAACUGAAUUCAGCCAGCAUGGUGGUAUUUGAUUUUACUUACAACAAACAAAGAACUGUUCAGAUUAUUAGACAAUCAAAUGUAGAUACCUUUGGAGUCAGAAUCUUUCCAAUUCCUCAUAUCUCUCUAUUCCUCUACAACUGUAAGGAGAGAAAAAUAAGAAGAAUAAGAGCCUCCCUCAGUGGAGAGGCAGACAUAUACACCUGGUGAUCAUCAGCAUGAGCAUGCCUACCCUGGCACAGGUGCAUCAAACAGAGCCCGGUUCUGAUUUACUUUGCCUCAGGGUGUCAGCAAACGUUUUAGAGAGGGGGAAUCAGAAAACCAUCAUGUGAAAUAGAUAUAAUACAUGUAAGACCGAAUUACAGUGGAGUGAACAUUUCUUUCUUAUGAAUGUUAUUUGUGUUGUGUUACUUGUUCUAUUCAGUGACAUGCUGUGACCUAGUAAUUUUUAUAAGUGGACUGAUUUUCAGGUUCAUGUGGGCAUAAAAUAAAUACAAAGCAUCU
Molecule: non-coding RNA, 1316 nt
Organism: Callithrix jacchus (white-tufted-ear marmoset)
Lineage: Eukaryota; Metazoa; Chordata; Mammalia; Primates; Cebidae
Source: RefSeq, a predicted model, not a curated record